RNAcentral lists this small RNA (602 nucleotides) under Pan troglodytes (chimpanzee). Its description in RNAcentral is "processed transcript". The record is from RNAcentral. Lineage: Eukaryota; Metazoa; Chordata; Mammalia; Primates; Hominidae.
GAUUUAUCUGGGAGCUCUUUUAAAAUAGUGUUCUAUGGCCGAGCGCGUUGGCUCACGCUUGUAAUCUCAGCACUUUGAGAGGCCGAGGCAGGAGGAUUGCUUGAGUCCAGGAGUUCGAGACCAGCCUGGGCCACAUGAUGAAAACCCGUCUCUACAAAAAAUACAAAAUAUAGCUGGGUAUAGUGACACAUGCCUGUGGUCCCAGCUACCUGGGAGGCUAAGGUGGGAGAAUCACCUGAGCCCAGGAGUUCGAGGCCGCAGUGAGUUGUGAUUGUACCAUUGCUCUCCAGCCUGGACGACCAAGUGAGAACCUGUCUCAAAAAAAAAAAAAAAAAGUGUCCUGUAAGUACAAAACAGCAUGGUGUAAUGAAAGAGCAUAGUCUUUGGAGUUAGACUGUUUCUGGCACUGCGAAGCCUUGGAUCAAAGAAAGUGCAUCACAGACAAGGGAUGUUCUCAAACAGCAUUUUAAUGAUUUAAAGGGAACCCUUGGAAAGCUCCUGGAUGAGCGAUUGGUGACCCUUUUGCAAGAGGUGGACACCAUUGAACAGGAGACCAUUAAACCACUAGAUGACUGCCAGAAGCUCAUAGAACACGGAGUCAA